RNAcentral lists this long non-coding RNA (886 nucleotides) under Mytilus galloprovincialis (Mediterranean mussel). Lineage: Eukaryota; Metazoa; Mollusca; Bivalvia; Mytilida; Mytilidae. The record is from RNAcentral.
AAGGACUCAAAAAUUGGAUAGCUGCCCUUUUGUUAACUUUUAACAUACCUACUGACUGAUAAUGCAUUCACUGAAUUCCCCUGAUGUGGCAUCGAACCAUGUCUUGGGAAUGCUUUGGCAAUUUUAUCUGAAAAAGACUAUACAUAUUUCCAACAAUUGUUAUGUAAAAAGAUUAAAUUCAAAGCUUAAUAAGUCAAUAUAAGACAUAAAUGUUCUCCACCGACCGAAUCAUAAUUGUAAAUAUUUGGUCAUUUCAUAUUGUUAUAUCAAUACAGGUUAUAUGCAUAUACAAAUAUACAAAAUAGUAAGUACUAGAAUAAAUGUAUAACAUCAGCACACAUUUUAAAAUAAAGCUAUGCAUGCUAUGAUUCGUUCAAUAUUGUAGACACUACAAAGGGUUAUGUAGAUUUUGAAUACUAAACCUAUUAAUCCUAGCUUGCCGCUUUGUAUAUCUAGAUAGCUAACAAAAAGUAAAAUCACAAAAAUACAAAAAUACAGAACUCAGAGGAAAAUCAAAUCGGAAAAUCCCCAAAUACAUGGCAAAAUCAAAAGACAAAACACAUCAAAAACUAAAGGACAACAACUGUCAUAUUCCUGAUCAUGACUUGGUACAGGCAUUUAGAAAUGUAGAAAACGGUGGAUUAAACCUGGUUACAUAGCGCUAAACCUCUCACUUUGUACGACAGUCUCAUCAAAUUCCAUUUAUUCCAUAUGAAUCUAUAGAAUCAAAUAAGGUGAUGGAUUGAUUUAAAUUCGUAUAAAACACACGAUACAUAUAGGCAUAUUUGUUUAAGAACGCGUACGGGACUAAUACACAGGCUGGCACUCUGUUUAAACAUAGCAGAGGAACGUCUGUAAAUAUCUGUAAAUACCUCCGCCCUGUCCC